This 399-nucleotide ribosomal RNA is filed under the name uncultured bacterium. RNAcentral's name for it is "bacterial SSU rRNA". It matches the Rfam family "Bacterial small subunit ribosomal RNA", at positions 358 to 773 of the family's 1533-position model. The record is from RNAcentral.
GGAAUCUUGCGCAAUGGACGGCAGUCCGACGCAGCGACGCCGCGUGGGUGAAGACGGCCUUCGGGUUGUAAAGCCCUUUUCUGGGGGAAGAGAUAGGACGGUACUCCAGGAAUAAGUGUCGGCUAACUACGUGCCAGCAGCCGCGGUAAUACGUAGGACACGAGCGUUAUCCGGAUUUACUGGGCGUAAAGCGCCUGUAGGCGGUUCUUCAAGUCGUUUGUGAAAGCCCUGGGCUCAACUCGGGGAGGCCAAGCGAUACUGGAGGACUUGAGGGUGACAGAGGGGAGUGGAAUUUCCGGUGUAGCGGUAAAAUGCGCAGAUAUCGGGAAGAACACCAGUGGCGAAGGCGGCUCCCUGGGUCACACCAGACGCUGAGAGGCGAAAGCUAGGGGAGCGAAC